RNAcentral lists this ribosomal RNA (254 nucleotides) under uncultured bacterium. RNAcentral describes it as "partial 16S ribosomal RNA". It matches the Rfam family "Bacterial small subunit ribosomal RNA", at positions 524 to 776 of the family's 1533-position model. The record is from RNAcentral.
UACGGGGGGAGCAAGCGUUGUUCGGAUUUACUGGGCGUAAAGGGCGCGUAGGCGGCCACCGCAAGUCAAUUGUGAAAUCUCCGGGCUUAACUCGGAAAGGUCAACUGAUACUGCGGGGCUAGAGUGCGGAAGGGGCAACUGGAAUUCUCGGUGUAGCGGUGAAAUGCGCAGAUAUCAGGAGGAACACCAAUGGCGAAGGCAGCACUCUGGGACGUGACUGACGCUGAGACGCGAAAGCGUGGGGAGCAAACAGG